RNAcentral lists this non-coding RNA (29 nucleotides) under Mus musculus (house mouse). Lineage: Eukaryota; Metazoa; Chordata; Mammalia; Rodentia; Muridae. The record is from RNAcentral.
UAAGUUUAUGAGGUGGCUUCCUGAAGGAA